GGGGGUGUGGUGAAGCUUGGCCGUUCACGCCGGCCUGUCAAGCCGGAGGUCGCGGGUUCGAAUCCCGUCAUCCCCGCCA
This 79-nucleotide transfer RNA is filed under the name Acidimicrobiia bacterium. Its description in RNAcentral is "tRNA-Asp". It matches the Rfam family "tRNA". From Rfam's summary of the family: Transfer RNA (tRNA) molecules are approximately 80 nucleotides in length. Their secondary structure includes four short double-helical elements and three loops (D, anti-codon, and T loops). RNAcentral also lists the same sequence under 3 other names. Lineage: Bacteria; Bacillati; Actinomycetota; Acidimicrobiia. The record is from RNAcentral.